CCCCGUUCUGUGUGUGACAGCGGUAGAGACGAGAUGUGGAUCACCGUCUGCCUCUUUCUCAUCUGCCCGGUGGCUGGGAACUCUGUGACCCAGAUUCGAGCAUCUGAGUCAGCCAGGGAAGGGCGGCCCGUGAAACUGAAUUGUCAGUACAGCACCACGUACACGUACUACGCCCUGGGAUGGUACCAGCAGCUGCCUGGGCAGCAGCCUCUGUUCCUAGUGUACAGAAAUGAGAGGGGAAAUGAGUACAAGCCCCGUUUUGUGGCACCUCGGUUUUCCUCCGAGCUCAGCACCGAUGUCAAAUCGUUCACACUGUCCAUAGAAGGGGUGCAGUGGGCUGACUCGGCGGUGUACUUCUGUGCUUUCUGGGAUCCACCGUGCUACACAGCGCACAGGGAUCCCCACAUAAACUGCCGGGAGAUCUCAAGGUUGACAGCACUGGGUGCCUGGCCAUUAGCUCACGAGAGCACUUUGUAA
Non-coding RNA from Gopherus flavomarginatus (Mexican gopher tortoise), 477 nucleotides. Lineage: Eukaryota; Metazoa; Chordata; Testudines; Testudinidae. The record is from the annotation of a RefSeq genome assembly.